This 125-nucleotide long non-coding RNA is filed under the name Bos indicus x Bos taurus (hybrid cattle). Its description in RNAcentral is "lncRNA (ENSBIXG00000013474.1)". Lineage: Eukaryota; Metazoa; Chordata; Mammalia; Artiodactyla; Bovidae. The record is from RNAcentral.
CAUUAAGCUGAGGUCUUAGUGUUUAUCCUUCACCCAUCAUUUAUUUGUUCAUUCAACAGUGUCCACUCUGUGCCAGGCAGCUGGAUGCACAGGUCUAAGCACAGAGACUCUGUCAAAGCCAUGAG